CCGAGUUCAUGCCCUUACGGGUAGAUCUCCCACCCUUUGUAUACUAUACCUUUGUUGCUUUGGCGGGCCGCCUAGCUACUGGCUUCGGCUGGUAAGUGCCCGCCAGAGGACCCAAAACUCUGUCUGUCUGUGUCGUCUGAGUACUAUAUAAUAGUUA
This 157-nucleotide unclassified non-coding RNA is filed under the name uncultured Helotiales. RNAcentral's name for it is "sequence contains ITS1". The record is from RNAcentral. Lineage: Eukaryota; Fungi; Ascomycota; Leotiomycetes; Helotiales.